AAAUGCAUAGUAAAACGACUUCAUGGAAAAAGCAGAGGGUGAUGGUGGAAGGUUGCUUUUCGGACAGGAGACCUGUGCCUCAGGGUUCCGUGUCGCUGUUUGUCAUCUAUAUCAAUGAUUUGGA
Long non-coding RNA from Amblyraja radiata (thorny skate), 124 nucleotides. RefSeq lists it as uncharacterized. The record is from RefSeq and is a predicted model, not a curated record. NCBI's taxonomy places the organism in Eukaryota, Metazoa, Chordata, Chondrichthyes, Rajiformes, Rajidae. The transcript has 3 exons.